This 301-nucleotide ribosomal RNA is filed under the name uncultured bacterium. RNAcentral describes it as "partial 16S ribosomal RNA". It matches the Rfam family "Bacterial small subunit ribosomal RNA", at positions 509 to 807 of the family's 1533-position model. The record is from RNAcentral.
CAGUAGCCGCGGUAAUACGAAGGGUGCAAGCGUUACUCGGAAUUACUGGGCGUAAAGCGUGCGUAGGCGGUUUGUUAAGUCUGUUGUGAAAUCCCCUGGCUCAACCUGGGAAUGGCAAUGGAUACUGGCAAGCUAGAGUGUGUCAGAGGAUGGUGGAAUUCCCGGUGUAGCGGUGAAAUGCGUAGAGAUCGGGAGGAACAUCAGUGGCGAAGGCGGCCAUCUGGGACAACACUGACGCUGAGGCACGAAAGCGUGGGGAGCAAACAGGAUUAGAUACCCCUGUAGUCCAUGUCUCUUAUAC